CCUUCUACUGGUGACUAUUCCAGUUUUCUCAUCUAACGUUGCAAAAUUUGACUGCAGAUAAAAAGACAACAGAAAUGCAUUAAAUGAGAAAACCAACAAUGAGAAAUUGUGGGCUUUUUCUACCCUGACAGUUCACACAACUCUUUGUAUUAAUAUAUAGAUAAAACAUAAGAGACUAUUAGGUGGAAGAGAUUCAUUUUUAGCCCAUAAAAGUGGGAAACAAAAGUUAUAAAAUGCUCUGACUCCCUGACAUGCAGGAAAGUUUAAUGUGGAGAGCACAAUCCCAUGAAUAAAUAAAUAAAAA
Molecule: long non-coding RNA, 304 nt
Organism: Populus euphratica (Euphrates poplar)
Lineage: Eukaryota; Viridiplantae; Streptophyta; Magnoliopsida; Malpighiales; Salicaceae
Exons: 2
Source: RefSeq, a predicted model, not a curated record